UUUGGGGGGACGGUCGGAUGGGUAGGCUCCAGGAAUCGGGGUGAACCGAGGCUGGUGCCUGGAGGAGAGCUUCGUGCCAUCGGCUCCCUGACCCUGGGGCGGCCCCCACCCCCCCAUGGGUCCCCUGGUGAGAGCCGCCCUGGUCCUGACGCUGCUCGAACCGGUGUGUCUACUGACCCAGGAGCCCCGGGGCCGUCCGACCGUCGCGCCCGCCCCCAGCCUGCACGUCACCUUUGACCCCUGGAGGAAGAACCUGACCUGGGCCUGCGGCGACCACACCACGGCCGUCCAGUGCGGGAUGCGGACCCGGAAAAGGGGAUCCGUGACCAUGAGGGUGCGUGGACCUUCCAUACCCGCC
Molecule: long non-coding RNA, 358 nt
Organism: Myotis davidii
Lineage: Eukaryota; Metazoa; Chordata; Mammalia; Chiroptera; Vespertilionidae
Exons: 3
Source: RefSeq, a predicted model, not a curated record